Long non-coding RNA from Canis lupus familiaris (dog), 548 nucleotides. RefSeq lists it as uncharacterized. NCBI's taxonomy places the organism in Eukaryota, Metazoa, Chordata, Mammalia, Carnivora, Canidae. The record is from RefSeq and is a predicted model, not a curated record. The transcript is spliced from 3 exons.
AGUAAUGGCAUUAGCAAUGGUGACACUAACGGUAAUAACUGUAUUCCAUUGGGCUGGACCCCGGCUUGUGCUUCCGAAGCAUUCUUUCCUACAUAAUCCUCACAGCUGCCCCCUCGAGAAGGCCAAGAGGGAAAAGGUGAGAAGAAUGACAACCGCCAUGAGGUCUCUCAGCUCCUGAGCAGGUGCUGGGUGUCCUGCGGUUUGCUCCACAUGCACUGAGCCCUUCUUUCAUACCAUCACCUGCCACCAUAGGUACUGUCAUUACACCCACUGGACAGAGGAGGAGACCAAGAGUUUUAUGAGGCCAUGAGUCCUGAACCAUCCAGCCUGGCUGAGGGGAAAGUCUUUGCCACCCUGCCCUUCAAGGCCUCAACCCAGCCCGACAAUAGAAACCACCAGGAAGCAUCCUGCCUAUGCUUUUCCCUCACCCUCUCUGCUUCCUGCCUAACCCCGGUGCUUCCCCGUGUGGCCCUGCAUGCCAUGGCCUGCUCCCUCCUCUUGGGAUCUGGGAGCAUAGCAAACUAGAUUUUCAGCGCAGUUGCCUCCCA